AUUGAACGCUGGCGGCAUGCUUUACACAUGCAAGUCGGACGGCAGCACAGGGAAGCUUGCUUCUUGGGUGGCGAGUGGCGAACGGGUGAGUAACAUAUCGGAACGUACCGAGCAGUGGGGGAUAACUAAUCGAAAGAUUAGCUAAUACCGCAUAUUUUCUGAGGAAGAAAGCAGGGGACCUUUGGGCCUUGCGCUGUUUGAGCGGCCGAUAUCUGAUUAGCUAGUUGGUGGGGUAAAGGCCUACCAAGGCGACGAUCAGUAGCGGGUCUGAGAGGAUGAUCCGCCACACUGGGACUGAGACACGGCCCAGACUCCUACGGGAGGCAGCAGUGGGGAAUUUUGGACAAUGGGCGCAAGCCUGAUCCAGCCAUGCCGCGUGUCUGAAGAAGGCCUUCGGGUUGUAAAGGACUUUUGUCAGGGAAGAAAAGGGCGGGGUUAAUACCCCUGUCUGAUGACGGUACCUGAAGAAUAAGCACCGGC
Molecule: ribosomal RNA, 480 nt
Filed under: Neisseria flava
Lineage: Bacteria; Pseudomonadati; Pseudomonadota; Betaproteobacteria; Neisseriales; Neisseriaceae
Description: bacterial SSU rRNA
Rfam family: Bacterial small subunit ribosomal RNA
Source: RNAcentral